AGAUUGAACGCUGGCGGCAGGCCUAACACAUGCAAGUCGAGCGGUAGAGAGGUGCUUGCACCUCUUGAGAGCGGCGGACGGGUGAGUAAUGCCUAGGAAUCUGCCUAGUGGUGGGGGAUAACGUUCGGAAACGGACGCUAAUACCGCAUACGUCCUACGGGAGAAAGCGGGGGACCUUCGGGCCUCGCGCCAUUAGACGAGCCUAGGUCGGAUUAGCUAGUUGGUGAGGUAAUGGCUCACCAAGGCGACGAUCCGUAACUGGUCUGAGAGGAUGAUCAGUCACACUGGAACUGAGACACGGUCCAGACUCCUACGGGAGGCAGCAGUGGGGAAUAUUGGACAAUGGGACGAAAGCCUAGAUCCAGCCAUGCCGCGUGUGUGAAGAGGUCUUCGGAUU
Molecule: ribosomal RNA, 397 nt
Filed under: uncultured soil bacterium
Lineage: Bacteria
Description: bacterial SSU rRNA
Rfam family: Bacterial small subunit ribosomal RNA
Source: RNAcentral